RNAcentral lists this ribosomal RNA (292 nucleotides) under uncultured bacterium. Its description in RNAcentral is "partial 16S ribosomal RNA". It matches the Rfam family "Bacterial small subunit ribosomal RNA", at positions 505 to 796 of the family's 1533-position model. The record is from RNAcentral.
GUGCCAGCAGCCGCGGUAAUACGUAGGUGGCAAGCGUUGUCCGGAUUUAUUGGGUUUAAAGGGUGCGUAGGCGGUCCUAUAAGUCAGUUGUGAAAUACGGCAGCUUAACUGUCGAGGUGCAAUUGAUACUGCAGGACUUGAGUACAGACGAGGUAGGCGGAAUUGACGGUGUAGCGGUGAAAUGCUUAGAUAUCGUCAAGAACACCGAUAGCGAAGGCAGCUUACUAGACUGUAACUGACGCUGAUGCACGAAAGUGUGGGGAUCAAACAGGAUUAGAAACCCUGGUAGUCC